This 482-nucleotide ribosomal RNA is filed under the name uncultured bacterium. RNAcentral describes it as "partial 16S ribosomal RNA". It matches the Rfam family "Bacterial small subunit ribosomal RNA", at positions 30 to 507 of the family's 1533-position model. The record is from RNAcentral.
AUUGAACGCUGGCGGCAUGCUUUACACAUGCAAGUCGAACGGUAACAGCACUUCGGUGGCUGAUGAGUGGCGGACGGGUGAGUAAUACAUCGGAACGUGCCCAGUAGUGGGGGAUAACUAAUCGACAGAGUAGCUAAUAUCGCAUGAGAUCUAAGGAUGAAAGCAGGGGACCUUCGGGACUUGCGCUACUAGAGCGGCUGAUGGUCGAUUGGGUAGUUGGUGGGAUAAAAGCUUUCCAGGCCGACGAUCUGUAGGUGGACUGAGAGGGGGACCAGCCACACUGGGACUGGGACACGGCCCAGAGUCCUGAGGGAGGCAGCAGUGGGGUAUGUUGGACAGUGGUCGCAAGCCUGAUCCAGCAAUGCCGCGUGCAAGAUGAAGGCCUUCGGGUUGUAAACAGCGUUUGUACGGAGCGAAAAGCCCUCGUCUAAGACAGGGGGGUCGUGACGGUACCGUAAAAAGAAGCACCGGCUAACUACGUG